This 643-nucleotide unclassified non-coding RNA is filed under the name Hevea brasiliensis (rubber tree). The record is from RNAcentral. Lineage: Eukaryota; Viridiplantae; Streptophyta; Magnoliopsida; Malpighiales; Euphorbiaceae.
UUGGGAGGUCAAUGGUAUACCGCUCAUGACCAGUCAACCCUAGUGUGUCUGCAUCCUGGCCAGCCUUGAAACAAAGUGGAAUAAUUCCCAUUCCCACCAAAUUACUGCGAUGAAUUCUCUCAAAACUUUUAGCAAUCACAGCUUUAACUCCCAAUAACAUUGGACCCUUGGCAGCCCAAUCUCUGGAGCUUCCACUUCCAUACUCAGCUCCAGCCAAAAUAAUGGUGUCAUGUCCAGCAGUCUUGUACCUCGUUGCUGCAUCAAAUACAUAGAGUUUCUCUCCUGUAGGAAUAUGUACCGUCUGUGGUCCUACUUCCCCAUUCAAAAGUUUGUUAACAAGGCGAAUAUUAGCAAAAGUUCCCCUAGCCAUCACUUCAUCAUUUCCACGUCGACUUCCAUAGGAGUUAAAGUCCUUGCGAUCCACCCCUCUCUCAAGGAGGUACUUGGCAGCAGGACUGUCCUUGUGGAUACUUCCUGCUGGUGAAAUGUGAUCUGUUGUGAUACUAUCGCCAAAGUUCAGCAAGCAGUAAGCAUCCUUCACUCCAUGUGCUCCAGGAGGAUUCAGGGUCAUGUUCUUGAAGUAUGGAGGCUCAUGAAUAUAGGUGGAGCUAGGGUCCCAUGAGUAUGAAGUUUUAGCUGAUAC